AUGGGAACAGUUUUCUCCAUGUACCUGUUGGGGGAGAGAAACAAGGCUGCUUCGACCAUCAAUCUGUGGGACCUCAGAUCUCAGCCUGAAAGCAAGGGUGAAACGAAAUACGAAAAUUGCACUGCAGUAGAAGAGGAGUCAGCUAUCUGAGGGCCUCUGCUGAAAUCCCAUCUUUCGGGUGUUGUUUCACUUCACACCCAAAGACAUAUUCAAUGAAUGGGAGAAACUGAGAGCAGAAGCAAGAAGCUGGACUCCUAAGGUGAUGUGAAACUUUUUUUUUUUGUUCUCCUUGAAGAUAGGACUCUUAAAUGUGAUGACAGAAAUGAUGAAAGUAGCAGGGCUUUGCAUACACUUGACAUAGUUAAUCCAGUCAGUAAACAUGAUGUUAAAAAAAGGGCACCCUGUAACAUUUCAGUAUCUCUCUAUUUGAAGUAUAUACGAUGCCUAACAUGUAUGCAAUGGAUCUGGGGCCUGACAUCUAUUUAAACUCAUUGGGAGCA
Molecule: long non-coding RNA, 500 nt
Filed under: Anser cygnoides (Swan goose)
Lineage: Eukaryota; Metazoa; Chordata; Aves; Anseriformes; Anatidae
Description: lncRNA (ENSACDG00005000148.1)
Source: RNAcentral